This 401-nucleotide ribosomal RNA is filed under the name Enterobacteriaceae bacterium. Its description in RNAcentral is "bacterial SSU rRNA". It matches the Rfam family "Bacterial small subunit ribosomal RNA", at positions 399 to 793 of the family's 1533-position model. Lineage: Bacteria; Pseudomonadati; Pseudomonadota; Gammaproteobacteria; Enterobacterales; Enterobacteriaceae. The record is from RNAcentral.
GCGUGUAUGAAGAAGGCUUCGGGUUGUAAAGUACUUUCAGCGGGGAGGAAGGGAGUAAAGUUAAUACCUUUGCUCAUUGACGUUACCCGCAGAAGAAGCACCGGCUAACUCCGUGCCAGCAGCCGCGGUAAUACGGAGGCUGCAAGCGUUAAUCGGAAUUACUGGGCGUAAAGCGCACGCAGGCGGUUUGUUAAGUCAGAUGUGAAAUCCCCGGGCUCAACCUGGGAACUGCAUCUGAUACUGGCAAGCUUGAGUCUCGUAGAGGGGGGUAGAAUUCCAGGUGUAGCGGUGAAAUGCGUAGAGAUCUGGAGGAAUACCGGUGGCGAAGGCGGCCCCCUGGACGAAGACUGACGCUCAGGUGCGAAAGCGUGGGGAGCAAACAGGAUUAGAUACCCCCGUAG